UACAGAGGUCUCAAGCGUUGUUCGGAUUCAUUGGGCGUAAAGGGUGCGUAGGUGGCGCCAUAAGUCAGGUGUGAAAUCUCGGGGCUCAACCUCGAAACUGCACUUGAUACUGUGGUGCUGGAGUACUGGAGAGGAGAUUGGAAUUUACGGUGUAGCAGUGAAAUGCGUAGAUAUCGUAAGGAGACCAGUGGCGAAGGCGAAUCUCUGGACAGUUACUGACACUGAGGCACGAAGGCCAGGGGAGCAACGGG
Molecule: ribosomal RNA, 251 nt
Filed under: uncultured bacterium
Lineage: Bacteria
Description: partial 16S ribosomal RNA
Rfam family: Bacterial small subunit ribosomal RNA
Source: RNAcentral